CUGGCUCAGAUUGAACGCUGGCGGCGUGCUUAACACAUGCAAGUCGCGCGUGAAAGGACUUCGGUCCGAGUAAAGCGGCGCACGGGUGAGUAACGCGUGGAUGAUCUACCCAUGAGUUGGGAAUAACGGCUGGAAACGGUCGCUAAUACCGAAUACGCUCCGAUUUCAACUUCGGGGGAAAGGUGGCCUCUGCUUGCAAGCUACUGCUCAUGGAUGAGUCCGCGUCCCAUUAGCUAGUUGGUGGGGUAACGGCCCACCAAGGCGACGAUGGGUAGCCGGUCUGAGAGGAUGACCGGCCACACUGGGACUGGAACACGGCCCAGACUCCUACGGGAGGCAGCAGUGGGGAAUAUUGCGCAAUGGGCGAAAGCCUGACGCAGCGACGCCGCGUGAGGGAUGAAGGUCCUCGGAUCGUAAACCUCUGUCAGGAGGGAAGAACCGCCACGGUGCUAAUCAGCCGUGGUCUGACGGUACCUCCAAAGGAAGCACCGGCUAACUCCGUGCCAGCCGCAGC
RNAcentral lists this ribosomal RNA (514 nucleotides) under uncultured bacterium. Its description in RNAcentral is "bacterial SSU rRNA". It matches the Rfam family "Bacterial small subunit ribosomal RNA", at positions 19 to 518 of the family's 1533-position model. The record is from RNAcentral.